GUUAAAUCAAGAAGUCAAUCAUACUUCGUUCCAAAACAAGUCUUAGAGUUAAGAUUGUGACAUUGAGUGACAAGUCUUAAGAAGGUUUAUAACAUUCAUCAAAUGUGGAAUUUGAAAAGGUUUUCUUAUUCUUGCACAUUUGAAAUUGGAAAGUUGUGAUGUCUUGGAUAAGACAAAGACCAACUAGGACCAAUAUUAUGAAGUGUUUUGUUUUGAUAAAAGCUACACUAACUCUUGAAUAUUUGUUUGUCAAGAAAUGUUUAUUGACAAAAGAAUCUUAUAUGUCAAGGAGUCAGUGGGAGUCUUAAUGGUCUUGAAAAGUUUCAAG
This 328-nucleotide long non-coding RNA is filed under the name Lactuca sativa (garden lettuce). RNAcentral describes it as "long non-coding RNA (LSAT_LNC001604)". Lineage: Eukaryota; Viridiplantae; Streptophyta; Magnoliopsida; Asterales; Asteraceae. The record is from RNAcentral.